UGAGGAAUAUUGGUCAAUGGAGGCAACUCUGAACCAGCCAUGCCGCGUGCAGGAUGACGAUCCUAUGGAUUGUAAACUGCUUUUGUACAGGAAGAAAUGCAAUUACGUGUAAUUGUUUGACGGUACUGUAAGAAUAAGGACCGGCUAACUCCGUGCCAGCAGCCGCGGUAAUACGGAGGGUCCGAGCGUUAUCCGGAAUUAUUGGGUUUAAAGGGUUCGUAGGCGGUUUUGUAAGUCAGUGGUGAAAUCUCCUAGCUUAACUAGGAAAUUGCCGUUGAUACUGUGAGACUUGAAUCAUUAGGAAGUAACUAGAAUAUGUAGUGUAGCGGUGAAAUGCUUAGAGAUUACAUGGAAUACCAAUUGCGAAGGCAGGUUACUACUAAUUGAUUGACGCUGAUGAACGAAAGCGUGGGUAGCGAACAGG
Molecule: ribosomal RNA, 424 nt
Filed under: uncultured bacterium
Lineage: Bacteria
Description: bacterial SSU rRNA
Rfam family: Bacterial small subunit ribosomal RNA
Source: RNAcentral